AAGAGUCAAGAAAAUUAUUCGGAUGAUACUGUAGAGAUGAACUCAUCUCUGAGCUUAGUGGCUGUGGUACUCUUACUGCUUGGACAAACCCAUGGAGACUUGGUGACCCAGACAAAAGGCCAAGUGACCCUCUCAGAAGGGGCUUCUCUGACUGUGAACUGCUCCUAUGAAACCGCACAGUAUCCAACUCUUUUCUGGUAUGUUCAGUAUCCCGAAGAGGGUCCACAGCUCCUCCUGAAAGCUUCAAGGGACAAUGAGAAGGGAAGCAGCAAAGGAUUUGUAGCCACAUACCGAAAACAGCCAAAUGCCUUCCAUUUGGAGAAAGCCUCAGUCCACCAGUCAGAUUCUGCCAUGUACUACUGUGCGCUGAGUGACACAGUGACAGACACUGCAGGGGGAGCUGAGCACAGACUCUAAGCAGCAAGGAGAAGGCUUGGUGUUGAGUAUCUAUUACUGUUUGAUUCACUAUGUGGAUUUUAUUAUUUA
Non-coding RNA from Pipistrellus kuhlii (Kuhl's pipistrelle), 486 nucleotides. Lineage: Eukaryota; Metazoa; Chordata; Mammalia; Chiroptera; Vespertilionidae. The record is from the annotation of a RefSeq genome assembly.